CAGCCACGCCCAGCCUGUGGAACUCCUUGCCAGCUGACAACCGUCCCGCUCCUCCAGCAGCUGGGCAAAGGUCUUCCUGCUUCGGGAGUCAUUCAAAAACCUUCAGGUUAUAAUAUCUUUCACGGUUUUAAAACAAACGGGGACUGCUGUUUUUAAUUCAGUGCUUUUAAUUUUAAUUGCAUUUUCAUUACACUGUUGAAUUCCGCUCUGUUUCAGUGUUUUAAUAUUUUAGAGUGUUUUAAAUCUUAUUUUGGUUUUAAACCUGUCCAGUCGGCUUCAUGGUGGUCCUGAUCCUGUGAGGAAAGCAGCCCAUAAAAAAAAGACGUUCGUCCCUUCCUUUCCUCCUUGGGGGUCCAAAUGAGCCACGGCUGGGUUUGCUGCUUCAGGGUGAGAGUUGGGGGGGGGGUUCCACAUGGGCGUGUGGUGGGGGCCCCUCCUCAGAUUAACGUCUCCAUUAAUACCCACAGUUCUUACCUGAGGGGUCGAAAUCUCCACCAGGCCCUGAGAUGGCCUUGUGCGUCUUCCUCUCUGCUCCUGAACCUACCCUGCAAGGGUGUUAGGAAGAGGGAUGUUAAACCACCUGGAGCUCAUUGGUAGAAAGGCCGAUUUAAAACCCCAGGCACACAUUAAUAGAUUUGGUUGUUCUUUUAAAAAAAAUAAAUCUUUAUUUCUAGGAGCAACCUCUGUGCUUCUCCUCCUGCACCCCAAAUCCCGCCAAGGAGAAUCGGCCAACUCAGGAUCGGGAAAGAAAGGGCUUGCCUUAGGAUCGUGGGCAGAGAGGGACGCUCCCAAGGGGACCACAGGGUUGCAGGGCGUUGCUCCGGGUGAAGACAAGACCCCAGGCGGGGCCUCCUCCAUUUCCAGCGCCACCUCUGUUUUAUUUCGGGUUCAAUUCGGAAUUAGUGGGGAAUUCAGACGCCGCCCCUCUGAUUCCGAAGCAAAAAGCAGACUGCGCUGCGCCCGAUCCAGAGCGAGAAAGCGCCCGGUCGCAUCGGCUUCUCAAGAUGAGUGGAAAGAAAAGAAAAAUCUGCCCAACCCAGUCUUGGGGUUGAAGACGACAGUUCGAUCCUAA
This 1072-nucleotide long non-coding RNA is filed under the name Pogona vitticeps (central bearded dragon). RNAcentral describes it as "lncRNA (ENSPVIG00000016977.1)". The record is from RNAcentral. Lineage: Eukaryota; Metazoa; Chordata; Lepidosauria; Squamata; Agamidae.